GAUGAACGCUGGCGGCGUGCUUAACACAUGCAAGUCGAACGAAGCGGCUUCGAAUGAACCUUCGGGUGAUUGAAAAGCUGACUUAGUGGCGGACGGGUGAGUAACGCGUGGGUAACCUGCCGUAUGCAGGGGGACAACAGUUGGAAACGACUGCUAAUACCGCAUGACGCUUCUUAGGGGCAUCCCUGAGAAGUCAAAGCUUUAUGUGCUGAAAGAUGGCCUCGCGUCUGAUUAGCUAGUUGGUGGGGUAACGGCCCACCAAGGCGACGAUCAGUAGCCGGUCUGAGAGGAUGAACGGCCACAUUGGGACUGAGAUACGGCCCAG
This 325-nucleotide ribosomal RNA is filed under the name uncultured bacterium. Its description in RNAcentral is "bacterial SSU rRNA". It matches the Rfam family "Bacterial small subunit ribosomal RNA", at positions 28 to 334 of the family's 1533-position model. The record is from RNAcentral.